GACGAACGCUGGCGGCGUGCUUAACACAUGCAAGUCGAACGCUGAAGCCCAGCUUGCUGGGUGGAUGAGUGGCGAACGGGUGAGUAACACGUGAGUAACCUGCCCCCUUCUUUGGGAUAACGCCCGGAAACGGGUGCUAAUACUGGAUAUUCACUGGCUUUCGCAUGGGGGUUGGUGGAAAGGUUUUUUCUGGUGGGGGAUGGGCUCGCGGCCUAUCAGCUUGUUGGUGGGGUGAUGGCCUACCAAGGCUUUGACGGGUAGCCGGCCUGAGAGGGUGACCGGUCACAUUGGGACUGAGAUACGGCCCAGACUCCUACGGGAGGCAGCAGUGGGGAAUAUUGCACAAUGGGCGAAAGCCUGAUGCAGCGACGCCGCGUGAGGGAUGACGGCCUUCGGGUUGUAAACCUCUUUCGCUCAUGGUCAAGCCGCAGCUUUGGGUUGUGGUGAGGGUAGUGGGUAAAGAAGCGCCGGCUAACUACGUGCCAGCAGCCGCGGUAAUACGUAGGGCGCGAGCGUUGUCCGGAAUUAUUGGGCGUAAAGGGCUUGUAGGCGGUUGGUCGCGUCUGCCGUGAAAUCCCCUGGCUUAACUGGGGGCGUGCGGUGGGUACGGGCUGACUUGAGUGCGGUAGGGGAGACUGGAACUCCUGGUGUAGCGGUGGAAUGCGCAGAUAUCAGGAAGAACACCGGUGGCGAAGGCGGGUCUCUGGGCCGUUACUGACGCUGAGGAGCGAAAGCGUGGGGAGCGAACAGG
Molecule: ribosomal RNA, 751 nt
Filed under: uncultured Actinomyces sp.
Lineage: Bacteria; Bacillati; Actinomycetota; Actinomycetes; Actinomycetales; Actinomycetaceae
Description: bacterial SSU rRNA
Rfam family: Bacterial small subunit ribosomal RNA
Source: RNAcentral